RNAcentral lists this ribosomal RNA (310 nucleotides) under Bacillus pseudomycoides. Its description in RNAcentral is "bacterial SSU rRNA". It matches the Rfam family "Bacterial small subunit ribosomal RNA", at positions 1 to 298 of the family's 1533-position model. The record is from RNAcentral. Lineage: Bacteria; Bacillati; Bacillota; Bacilli; Caryophanales; Bacillaceae.
UUUAUUGGAGAGUUUGAUCCUGGCUCAGGAUGAACGCUGGCGGCGUGCCUAAUACAUGCAAGUCGAGCGAAUGGAUUAAGAGUUUGCUCUUAUGAAGUUAGCGGCGGACGGGUGAGUAACACGUGGGUAACCUGCCCAUAAGACUGGGAUAACUCCGGGAAACCGGGGCUAAUACCGGAUAAUAUUUUGCACCGCAUGGUGCGAAAUUCAAAGGCGGCUUCGGCUGUCACUUAUGGAUGGACCCGCGUCGCAUUAGCUAGUUGGUGAGGUAACGGCUCACCAAGGCAACGAUGCGUAGCCGACCUGAGAG